Molecule: ribosomal RNA, 429 nt
Filed under: uncultured bacterium
Lineage: Bacteria
Description: bacterial SSU rRNA
Rfam family: Bacterial small subunit ribosomal RNA
Source: RNAcentral
UGGGGAAUCUUCCGCAAUGGACGAAAGUCUGACGGAGCAACGCCGCGUGAGUGAAGAAGGUUUUCGGAUCGUAAAGCUCUGUUGUUUGAGACGAAUGUGCAGACUUUGAAUAAGGGUUUGUAAUGACGGUAUUAAACGAGAAAGCCACGGCUAACUACGUGCCAGCAGCCGCGGUAAUACGUAGGUGGCAAGCGUUGUCCGGAAUUAUUGGGCGUAAAGGGAGCGCAGGUGGGAAUGUAAGUCAGUCUUAAAAGUGCGGGGCUCAACCCCGUGAGGGGAUUGAAACUACAUUUCUUGAGUGCAGGAGAGGAAAGUGGAAUUCCUAGUGUAGCGGUGAAAUGCGUAGAGAUUAGGAGGAACACCAGUGGCGAAGGCGACUUUCUGGACUGUAACUGACACUGAGGCUCGAAAGCCAGGGGAGCGAACGGG